RNAcentral lists this long non-coding RNA (1282 nucleotides) under Anas platyrhynchos platyrhynchos (common mallard). Its description in RNAcentral is "lncRNA (ENSAPLG00000019025.1)". Lineage: Eukaryota; Metazoa; Chordata; Aves; Anseriformes; Anatidae. The record is from RNAcentral.
CUUUUGUUAAGUAAGUUCUGCUAUGAGAUCCACUUUCUCAUAUCUCUUUGCAAGGAGCAUGCCAAUACAUGCAUUACUACAAGAGAAUCUUAAUCUCAGUCUCAAUGAGUUUGAAACUGGAGUUCAUUUUGCUACAUUGGGCAAAAGCAAUAUCUGAGUUUAUUUUUUUUGUGAAAUGGAGGUGCUAACAAGUUUUGGUUUCUGUAAUUGCACAGGCUGUGCAACACAACAAAGCUAGUGUUGCCACGGAAAAUAAUAUUUUAAAUUUCUUGCCUUUUGUGAUGUCUAGCACCUCAGCUUUAAUAUUCCAUUAACAUUUUUCAAUUUAUCCCCUCAAUGACUUUGGCGAUCCUCACUUGUCAUGUCACGUCUUUGAAAACCAUUCAGGUCAUGGUGCAUGUUUUUCUAUUUGUCCUAGAAAACCUCCUGCAUGCUUCUGGAAACUGUAAAAAGAAUAGUCCUGAAUUUUACACCUAAUAUAGACCAGCAUCAGCAGCAGAUCCACCGUCUAUAUCAUCAAGGAACACUAAUGACCUGUGGAGAGUCCAAGUCCCCUCCAUGUGAUCCUCAGGAAAACAGCACUAAUGUACACAGCACGUCUUGCUGCUCUCAGUUAUAGAGGGAGAAAUACUCAGGACUUCAGGAGGUCACACUUCCAGAAAGGCAAGAUAAACGAAAGAUUGCAAACAGAUAUUCACUAGAUGUGAACAGGGAAUAGGACACAAGCUCUAUUUUUAGAAGAAGGGGAUGCUGUCAGGGAAAGGAAGAGGUAAUAUUAAUGUAGGGAAAGAUAUUUUUGUCUGAGAUGGGGGGAGAAAGAAGGUGAAGUUUAGUUGCAGACAUUAGGCAUUUCUUCUUUGCAGUGAAAUAACAUUUCUUUUAAGUGUUACCUUCAAUGCUGUUGAAUGCUAAUUGCUCUGCAUGCGUGAGAGAAGUUGAUCCUGCAUCCCCUCUUACACUCCUCACACCAGAUAGCUGUAGGCAGUAUCUGUUUCCCAGAGGGUUUGACAACUCUAUGGAGCUUAAAAGAAAGGCAAAGUCACAUGGCAAAGAAGCAAUAUUGUGAGAUAACUGGUAGUGUGUGACUUGAGGUUUAUGGGAUGAAAAUCAAGAUGAAAUAUAGACAGGAUCUGCAAGAUGCUGAGGAACUUGAGUUUGUCAGAGGGAGUGAGAAGUUGGCAUAACUCACAUAAAAGAUAGGGACUGACAGACUGCUGGGAGGGCCUGAAGUAUGAAAAUUGAGAACUGACCAUGGAAAAACAAUUAAUAGGUGUAGAGGCAA